This 253-nucleotide ribosomal RNA is filed under the name uncultured bacterium. RNAcentral describes it as "partial 16S ribosomal RNA". It matches the Rfam family "Bacterial small subunit ribosomal RNA", at positions 524 to 776 of the family's 1533-position model. The record is from RNAcentral.
GACGUAGGGCGCAAGCGUUGUUCGGAUUCAUUGGGCGUAAAGGGUGUGUAGGUGGCGCGCUAAGUCGGGUGUGAAAUUUCGGAGCUUAACUCCGAAACUGCAUUCGAUACUGGCGUGCUUGAGGACUGGAGAGGAGACUGGAAUUCAUGGUGUAGCAGUGAAAUGCGUAGAGAUCAUGAGGAAGACCAGUGGCGAAGGCGGGUCUCUGGACAGUUCCUGACACUGAGACACGAAGGCCAGGGGAGCAAACGGG